This is a long non-coding RNA of Cornus florida, 694 nucleotides long. RefSeq lists it as uncharacterized. NCBI's taxonomy places the organism in Eukaryota, Viridiplantae, Streptophyta, Magnoliopsida, Cornales, Cornaceae. The record is from RefSeq and is a predicted model, not a curated record. The transcript has 4 exons.
AAAACACACACACUGCUGGUCAGAUCGAAGAUGAAGAUCAGAUCUGGUCGAUUGGGAUUCGUCUUUGUUGAUCGAAGCUAAAAUCGGAGUUUCUCCCCCCAUCAUCUGGUGAUACAGAACGAAAAGCAAUGAGGCUCACCUUAAUGUAUGGGUGCCGGGGGCUUCCUUUCUGUGUUGAUGUGACCUAUUAUUGUCGAUCUCAACUAUCGUUCCACACCGAUCAAGAAGCCUCUUUCAGUUGGCCAUAGGAACAAACCCUAACCCCUAAAGAAGAAACCCUAGGUCUGGAAUCCUGUAUUAGAGACGCGAAGGUGUGUUCGGCGAUUUGCAGACGACCGCUACUGUUAGGAUUGGGAUUUCUUAGGAGGCCGCUAGCCAUUGUUGUUGCCAGAUUGACAGCUCUUACCAUAGCUUUUCUAAACGAUAGGUAUGAAGACUUGGUUCAUGAUGCCUAGCAUUCCUUGGAUGUCGUGUAGCUUUCAAGUUUCCAUUUCAUGCAAAUGUUAGCAUGAAAUGUCAUUUUGUAGACUUAUAUGUCAAAAUAUGUAUAUUUGAUUCCAUGUAUGUAAUGUGUACAUAAGUGUACUCCUAUCAAUGUAUUUGACAUGUAUGAGAUGAGGCUGGAGGCCAAUGACAUGUGUAUUGUAUUCUAUACAACUUUUUAACUUAAUGAAAUAUUAUGAAAACCUUGAAA